CGCGAAUGGCUCAUUACAACAGCUAUAAUUUACUUGAUCUUGACAACCUACUUGGAUAACUGUGGUAAUUCUAGAGCUAAUACAUGCACCAAAGCUCCGACCGUAAGGGAAGAGCGCAUUUAUUAGAACAAAACCAAGCGGCUUCGGCCGUCCAAUGUUGACUCAGAAUAACUAAGCUGAUCGCAUGGUCUUGUACCGGCGACGUGUCUUUCAAGUAUCUGCCUUAUCAACUUUCGAUGGUAGUGUAUCUGACUACCAUGGUGACGACGGGUAACGGAGGAUAAGGGUUCGACUCCGGAGAAGGGGCCUGAGAAAUGGCCACUACGUCUAAGGAUGGCAGCAGGCGCGCAAAUUACCCACUCUCAGAACGAGGAGGUAGUGACGAGAAAUAACGAGACCGUUCUCUUAAGAGGCCGGUCAUCGGAAUGGGUACAAUUUAAACCCUUUAACGAGUAUCUAUGAGAGGGCAAGUCUGGUGCCAGCAGCCGCGGUAAUUCCAGCUCUCAAAAUGCAUAGAAUUAUUGCUGCGGUUAAAAAGCUCGUAGUUGGAUCUGUGCUGGCCUCCCGGUCCACCUUCGGGUGUGCACUGGUGAGGUUGGCUUUCCUGCCCAUUUUUCGGUCAGUGCCUUUAACCGGGUGCUGGUCGUAGUGGGCAAGUUUACUUUGAACAAAUCAGAGUGCCCAAAACAGGCGUUUCGCUUGAAUGUUCGUGCAUGGAAUAAUAGAAGAGGAUUUCGGUUCUAUUUUAUUGGUUUUAUAGACUGAGAUAAUGGUUAACAGAGACAAACGGGGGCAUUCGUAUUGCUACGUGAGAGGUGAAAUUCUUGGACCGUAGCAAGACGAACUACAGCGAAAGCAUUUGCCAAGAAUGUCUUCAUUAAUCAAGAACGAAAGUCAGAGGUUCGAAGGCGAUCAGAUACCGCCCAAG
RNAcentral lists this ribosomal RNA (928 nucleotides) under Sauertylenchus maximus. Its description in RNAcentral is "SSU rRNA". It matches the Rfam family "Eukaryotic small subunit ribosomal RNA", at positions 88 to 1023 of the family's 1831-position model. Lineage: Eukaryota; Metazoa; Nematoda; Chromadorea; Rhabditida; Telotylenchidae. The record is from RNAcentral.